GCAACCAGUCAAGCCUUAUAAGUAUGCACUUUUCCUUCCAUGUAUGUCUUCUUCUUGAAGAUCCAUUUGCACCCGACUGUUUUACAGCCUGGUACAUUGUCAACCAAGUUCCAAACUUGAUUGUCAUACAUGGACUGUAUCUCGCUGUCCAUAGCCUCCUUCCAUUUAGCAGACUCCGGGCCUGCCAUGGCUUCCUUAACACUGCUAGGUUCAUCCAAAUUUACUAGUGUACUAUCACUAAUAAACGUAUCACCUUCCGUAGUAAUAUGAAAACCAUAAUAAAACGAAGGUGUGUUCCUAACCCGUGUGGAACGUCUCGGAGGUACAGACUCGUCAGCUGGAUCAACAGGAGUUUCUACCUCAGGUUGAUUGCUAGUGUCUGAGGUUCCUUCACCAAUUGAUUCUUGAAUUUCUUCAAGAUCAAUCUGCCUCCCACUGUCUCCUUGGCUUAUAAAUUCUUUCUCGCGAAAGAUCCCUCUUCGUGCUACAAAGACCACAUUCUCACUGGGUCUGUAGAAAAGGUAACCGAAGGAUUUCUGUGGGUAGCCGAUGAAAAUACACCUUUCACUUCGGGGUUCAAGCUUAUCAUGAGUUUCACGCCUCACGAAGGCUUCGCAACCCCAAAUUUUGAUGUGGUCCAAAUUGGGAACCUUCCCAGUCCACAUUUCAUGAGGUGUUUUGGUAACCUUCUUUGUAGGGACUAGAUUAAGGAUAUGGGCGGCAGUCUCUAAGGCAUACCCCCAAAAAGAGAUUGGUAACGAAACUCGACUCAUCAUAGAGCGAACCAUGUCCAACAAGGUACGAUUACGCCUCUCAGCUACACCAUUCAGCUGUGGUGUCCUGGGAGGAGUCAAUUGUGAGACAAUCCCACACUCCUUAAGAUAGUCAAGGAACUCGGUACUAAGAUACUCACCACCUCGAUCGGAUCGAAGCAUCUUAAUGUUCCUGCCCAAUUGAUUUUCUACUUCCUGUUUGAAUUCCUUAAACCUUUCAAAGGUUUCGGACUUGUGUUUGAUCAAGUAGACAUACCCAUAUCUACUAUAAUCAUCAAUAAAAGUCACAUAAUACCGAUUAGCGUCCCUUGUGGCGGUUUUGAAUGGCCCACAUACAUCAGUAUGUAUUAGGUCCAACAAACCUUCACCCCUCUCACAAGUUCCAGUGAAGGGUGAUUUUGUCAUUUUUCCAAGUAGACAAGAUUCACAACUAUCAUCUGAUUUGAGGUCAAAUGAUUCCAAGACUCCACUCUUUUGGAGUUGGUCUAUGCGUUUCUUGUUUACAUGUCCAAGACGACAAUGCCACAAUGAUGCUUUAUCUAGGCUAGUAGAAGAAUCAAUAUACAACACAUUAUUUCCUAAGUUGUCUACAAUCGACACAGUUUCAUACACGCCAUCACAAGGUAAUGCUUUAAAAUAAAACACAUUAUUAAAGAAAGCAUUAAUACCACCACAUUCAUUAUCAAACGAAAAGGUAAAACCUUGUUUGUACAAAGCAUGAAAAGAAAUAAUAUUCCUCGCCAUUUCAGACGAGUAUACACAUUUAUUCAAAUCUAAUUUUAACCCAUUAUUAAGCAACAAAGUAUAAACUCCAAUCUUGGAAACAGGUGAAGCCUUCCUAUUCCCCAUGAUUAAGUUUAUCUUCCCGUGCUCCACAUCCUCACUUCUUCUUAGGCCCUGCAAAUCAGAACAUAUGUGAAUACCACAUCCUGUAUCAAGCACCCAAGAGUUAGAAUAUGUUGAGUAAUUAGACAAUAUAGUGUAAAUACCUGCAUAGGUGGGUUUCACUUUCCCAUCCUUUAGAUCCUGCAAGUACUUAGGGCAGUUUCGCUUCCAGUGUGCCUUUUCAUGGCAAUAAAAGCAUUCAGCAUCCUUUGGAAUGGCAGAAGGAGUGACAGAACCGUUCUUAGUCUUGGAUGAGGAGCCUUCAAGAGACUUUCCCUUGGUACCCUUCGAAGGGUGCUUCCUCUUUUUCCCUUUGCCUUGCCCAAUAGCUAAAACAGGGGUAGAAGUUGGAGUAGGAGUAGUAGAGGUAACAACCGCUUUACCCUUAAGACCGGUUUCAGCGGUCUUCAAGAGUCCUUGAAGCUUGCUGAGGGUAACUUCCUCCUUGUUCAUAUGAUAUGUCAUUCGAAAAUGAUCAUAACAAGAAGGCAAGGAGUGCAAAAUGAUGUCAAUUGCUAACUCCUCGGGGAUGUUAACAUUCAGCUUCAGCAAACGGUCCACAUACCUUUGCAUCUUUUGCAUGUGGCCCGUGACGGAUUCACCGUCCUUCAUGCGGGUAGUUAUUAUGGAGGAGAUUAUUUCAUACCGCUCCUGACGAGCACUCUGAUGGUACCUUUCCAUCAAGUCUUGGUGCAUCUCAAAAGGGUAGAAAUCUUCAUAUGACUUUUGGAGCUCGGCUGUCAUCGUGGCCAUCAUGAUACAUGCCACCUUAGUAGCAUCUCUCUCAUGAGUCCUGAAUUCAGCGAUCUCCUCAGGAGUAGCAGUAGACUCAUCAAGUUCUUUUAACUCCUUAUCGAGGACAUAUUCCUUGUCCUCGUAACGAGUAACCAUCCUGAUGUUCCUAAUCCAAUCCAUGAAGUUGGAACCAUCAAAGAUGACCCUCCCACAAAGAUUCAUGAGAGAGAAAGAACCAGUUGGGUUAGAGCCUGAAGCAUUAGUGUUGGAAGACAUCUGAAAGAAGAAAGUAAGUUUAGAUUAGAUAUUUAGGAUCCUUAAUAAGACACCCAAAUGUAAUAUUAAGGCUAGGAUCCAAUCACAAUAUAUUACACUUAGAAGAGGGAUGCCGUAAUCUAAGUAAUAAUAUAUUUGAAAGGUAGGCGAAUGACGAUUCACCAAUUUCCACCAUGAAAACGAAAUGAUUAAUUAGGUUUAAUUGGAUUUGAAAUUCCUAGAUUCUUUUGAGAUUCAUUGAACUUUUCAAUGGCAUGUUUCAAUCUCGAUUGUGCCCUUCAAGUUUUGUGACUGGGAUGCCGAGGAUCACAAAACAAGGUGUGAAUAACCAUGCUAACUCACUUGGUACUCCUAAUAUUAUCACCUAAUCAAUGUGCCGGUUAACCACACACGCUCCAUUGAUCUAUGACAACAUUAAGUUACCCUUCGUGAUCCUUACUAGUCUAAUUAGUGUGCCGGUUAACCACACACGCUCCACUAACGACUUGGUAAGGUACAAAGUGUGAAUUCCAUGGAUUAGCACCAUGUUCACAUUUUCCUAAAAUAACUAAGAUUGGGAAUUAAAAGAGUUUAGUUAUUUUAUAAUAUUCAUUAUACUUUUAAUGAGGAUUUAAAGUCGUUGUUCUACCCGUUCGGCUAACGACCCUCCACCGAUCAAGCAAGCGGUGGGUGAGAGUAUACACCCAUUAAGUCGCCAUUUUAUAGGCAACAACCUUAUACCCACCUUAUAGACCGGCUUCGUGAAUGAGGCCUACUAACGGUAAAACGACUUAUUCUUAUACAUAUAUAUAAUAAUUAACCAUUAAUGUUAUAAAUAGUAUAAGGGUUGAAUUUUAACUAUUAAAACUCUAAGGUUUGGAAUUAAAGUUUAUUAAAGUGUGUGAAACUUUACAAAUUCCAAAACUUGAGGACAAGUUUUGUAACUUUGCAAAACUCUUCAUUUCAUAACUUAUGAAUUAAAGGUUCAUAAAAAUGAAGACUCUUCAUUUUCAUGUAACUUAUGUGUUUUAAGUGUGUGUUAAAUGAAAGUGACCUUUGGUAAUCCAUAACUUGAGGACAAAUUAUGGACUCCAUUAAAACACAUAAAUGAUUAAGAAUUAAUUCUAAACAAUUCAGCAAAUAAUUCCUAUCAUUUUCUAAAUUCAUAAGAACAUGAACAUGAUCAUCAAAAAUUCAAGAAUUAUAUGAACACAUAAAAUCAUGGAUUUUUGAUAUAUGCUAUUGUAAAUGGAUUAGAACAACCAUUACACCAACUAAAAUAAGUUUUACAACACCAAAACAAUUUAGGGUAAUGUUUCCAGUCCAUUUCCAGCAGCAAAAGUCGAGAUUCUGCAUUCUUUCGAUCCUACUCGCCGAGUGCACGAACGGACUCGUCGAGUAGGUUGAAGUUUGCCUUGGACUCGGCGAGUCCCCCCAAUGGACUCGGCGAGUCUAGCAUGCAGACAGCAACGAUUUCGACUUUUUUCACUAUUUUGCAUCAAGUAUCAAACAAGCAAGCCUAGGCUCUGAUACCACUGUUGGGUUUUGAGCAAUCUAACACUUCCUAAGUGUGCAUGCAACCCUAAUAAACCUUGGAUCUAUGUUUGUCUAAAUACAUGCAAAAUAAUAAUUUUCCAAGGUUUAUAACCUAUCUAACAUGGCAUGGGGAACAUUUCAACAUAAAAGAGUUAGAAGAGAUUACAUACCUUUGUUGUGUUGGGUUCUUAGGAGUUUGAGGGCCAAGCACCAAUAGUGUGAAUGCCUCAAAUGGAAUCACAAACACCACAAACUCUUGGAAAACUUUGAGAGAGUAUACACACUCUUGUAUUUUCGGCCACACACAUGCACACACACACUAGAACACUAGCUUUCUCUUAGGCUAUCUUAGGCUCUCUUUCAUGCUCCAUAAGCAUGCUUAUAUAGUAUGCAUGGUUAGGGUGAAACCCUAAUAACCCAUGUCUUUUCCUAUUCCAAGGAUCCAUGGGUUAAAAGCUCCAUGGAUCAUCCAUGGACUUCCACAUAAGCCUAGCCCAUUAACAAAUGAGUAUUAGCCCACACUAUAUAAAACAAAUAGCCCAUAAUUUAAUUAGUAUUCCUUUUAAUCUCUAAAUUAAUCCAUAAUUAAUUUAAGACUAAAACUAAUUAAAUAACGUAACUUCAUAUUAAUAUAUUAUAACUCAUAAUAUAUUAAUAAACAUAUGUGUAUAACUCUCAUAAAAUUAUCCAUAAUAGUUUGGAUGAGAUGCAACCCAAAUGGACCAUGCCGGUCGGGUCAAGUAUAUACCAAAUAAGUUAUGGACUUAGACACCUUAUCCAACAGACUCCCACUUGGAUAAGUCUAAUAACUAUAUUUGCCUAUAACUUCAGGAACCAACCAACAAUCGUAGCUCUCGAAAACUCCCUCGAACAAUGAAGACUCUGUCGAACUAUGAAGCGCCAUUUUAGAUAAGUGAUCACAUAAUCCUCUGUUCUCAUGAUAUCAGCCGGACAAACACAUGGAACUAUGUCUUGCUUAUUGUCUAGCAGUUGUUUCUCGAUUAUCCGAUUUGUUUGACGAAGAACUUCACUGAACACAUCGGUUUAGUUCUGACCAGGCCUGGUAUAUGGGUCAACACAAAAUCAUCGAGGGGCCCGGAUAUCGCUUCUAUUUCUAGAAGGAACAGAUAAACUUCGACUGAUAUGCUUGUUCUACUACUUAUUGAAUUGUACACAAAGGCACGUUUUAUAACAUCAAGUUACUGAUGCGUUUACGUGCAAUCAAUGCACAACCAACUCAUAGGUAACAACUCAUAUCUCUAGGUUUAAAGAUUUAUAUGAUGUUAUCGUCUCACGAUCACUCGAGAUAAAUUCCAUGAAGUGAUACAAGUGAGCGUGGGUUUAUACCAAUACUCAUAACUUAUGAGUACUCAUGAAUGUUGCAGCAACCAUUGCCAUGCCUAAACACCUUUAAGGCAUCUACAAACCCAAUUCAUGACAAUCUUGAUUCAUACCUACUUCCGACGUAUGAUCGAUUGUGGAGGUUUGAACAAAUUAAUUAUUCUGGAAGUCAAAACAUGCAAAACUGAAACAAUAGUAAAUAAUUGACAAUGAUAGUAACACUUUACUCAUAAAUAAAUCACAAAUUUUAUUCAUCAUCAAACGUCGAUUACAUUUUACAAGUUUCAGGAAAACUAUCUAAUCUGUAAAACUAAUAUCGUCCCUCAGCCCGAUGCGUCUCGCAUGCUGAAAAUGCUUAACCCUCGUCAGUCCCUUCGUAAGGGGAUCUGCAGGAUUCUCAUCUGACGAUAUCCUCCUUGUCACAAGGAGUCCUUCUUCAAUCUUGUGCCUUAUGAAGUGAUAUUUUCUGUCAAUGUGUCGGGAUCUGCCAUGAUCUCUUGGUUCCUUGGCUAAGAUAACCGCAGCAUUGUUGUCACAGAAAAUCUCUAUAGGUUCCUUAAUAGCUGGUACAACUCCAAGGUCUCCGAUGAAGUUCUUUAGCCAUAUCGCCUCCUUCGCUGCUUCACUCGCUGCUAUAUACUCUGAUUCACAAGUCGAAUCAGCCACCGUCUCCUGCUUGGAACUCUUCCAAGAAAUUGCCCCUCCAUUUAAGGUAAAGAUCCAGCCCGACUGAGAGCGGAAAUUAUCCCUAUCAGUCUGAAAACCAGCAUCACUAUACCCUAAUAUUCUCAAGUCAUCACUGCCACCAAGGGUAAGGACCCAAUCCUUAGUCCUCCGCAGGUACUUGAGAAUGUUCUUUACCGCGGUCCAAUGAGCCUUGCCAGGGUUCCCCUGAUACCUGCUGACCAUGCUCAAAGCAAAUGCCACAUCAGGACGGGUACAAGUCAUAGCAUACAUGAUCGAGCCAACUGCGGAAGCAUAUGGUAAUUGGCUCAUCUCAGCUAUCUCAGCCUCUGUACUCGGACUCUGAGUCUUACUCAGUUUGGUAUUGCUUUGGAUCGGUAAAUCUCCUUUCUUGGAAUUCUCCAUGUUGAACCUUUUCAACACCUUAUCCAAGUAGAUACUCUGACUAAGUCCAAUUAGUCUUCUACUCCUUUCUCUUAAUAUCCUUAUCCCUAGGAUAUAGGUAGCCUCCCCUAGGUCCUUCAUAGCAAAGCACUUCCCAAGCCAGGACUUAACCUCCUGCAAGGUUGGGAUGUCAUUUCCUAUGAGUAGUAUGUCAUCCACAUACAGUACCAAGAAGCUAACUAUACUCCCACUAGCUCUGACAUACACGCAAGACUCAUCUUCGCUUCUCAAGAAGCCAAACUCUUUUACCUUCUCAUCAAAACAAAGAUUCCAGCUACGAGAUGCUUGUUUUAAUCCAUAAAUGGAUUUCUUAAGCUUGCAUACUCUAUUAGGGUACUCUGCAUUGACAAAACCCUCUGGCUGAUUCAUGUACACAUCCUCAGCCAACUUUCCAUUAAGGAAAGCGGUUUUGACAUCCAUUUGCCAUAUUUCAUAAUCAUGAAAUGCUGCAAUGGCUAACAUAACCCUAAUAGACUUAAUCUUGGCCACCGGCGAGAAGGUUUCAUCAUAAUCAAUACCUUGAGUUUGAGUAAAACCCUUCGCAACCAGUCGAGCCUUAUAAGUAUGCACUUUUCCUUCCAUGUCGGUCUUCUUUUUGAAGAUCCAUUUGCACCCGACUGUUUUACGGCCUGGUACAUUGUCAACCAAGUUCCAAACUUGAUUGUCAUACAUGGACUGUAUCUCGCUGUCCAUAGCCUCCUUCCAUUUAGCAGACUCCGGGCCUGCCAUGGCUUCCUUAACACUGCUAGGUUCAUCCAAAUUUACUAGUGUACUAUCACUAAUAAACGUAUCACCUUCCGUAGUAAUAUGAAAACCAUAAUAAAACGAAGGUGUGUUCCUAACCCGUGUGGAACGUCUCGGAGGUACAGACUCGUCAGCUGGAUCAACAGGAGUUUCUUCCUCAGGUUGAUUGCUAGUGUCUGAGGUUCCUUCACCAAUUGAUUCUUGAAUUUCUUCAAGAUCAAUCUGCCUCCCACUGUCUCCUUGGCUUAUAAAUUCUUUCUCGCGAAAGAUCCCUCUUCGUGCUACAAAGACCACAUUCUCACUGGGUCUGUAGAAAAGGUAACCGAAGGAUUUCUGUGGGUAGCCGAUGAAAAUACACCUUUCACUUCGGGGUUCAAGCUUAUCAUGAGUUUCACGCCUCA
This 7798-nucleotide long non-coding RNA is filed under the name Lactuca sativa (garden lettuce). RNAcentral's name for it is "long non-coding RNA (LSAT_LNC001018)". The record is from RNAcentral. Lineage: Eukaryota; Viridiplantae; Streptophyta; Magnoliopsida; Asterales; Asteraceae.